AGUAGCUGGGAUUACAGGCCUGCGCCACCACGCCCAGGGCUCAAGACGGCGUGUAGCAAACAGAAGGUGCUCAACAAAUGUCUGUCUGUGGAAUGACUGACCACAUGCACGAAAAGCCUUUGAUGGAAAAAAAACAAUGAAAGAGAAAAGUGAAAUGAGAGUAAAAUUCUUCACUGAUGUUAAUUCCUAUUUGCCAUGAAUCCAAUCAAUAAACAUUUAGAACAAACUUAUACUCAGGUUAUUUAAUUAGCACCCUACUCUGCUUCCCCAGGUGAUCUGAAAUGUUAAAGGAGACACAGCAAGCUCCAGGACUCUGUUGGUACAUCUCAGACCAUGUGGCUUCACAUAUAAUACAAGUGGAAAUCUGUCUCAAGUUUCCUAGUAUGCUGAAUAAAGACGCUGCAUUGGGAAAUAUGAACCCCGUCCUCGUGACCUCU
This 437-nucleotide long non-coding RNA is filed under the name Homo sapiens (human). Its description in RNAcentral is "HSALNT0344152". The record is from RNAcentral. Lineage: Eukaryota; Metazoa; Chordata; Mammalia; Primates; Hominidae.